UGUAAAUUAGUGUAUGAAGCACAAUGAUUUUUGAUAUCAUAAGGUUAAGUUUAAUUCUUAAGUUUACAA
Molecule: transfer RNA, 69 nt
Filed under: unidentified
Description: Idiocerus herrichii tRNA-Gln
Source: RNAcentral